GGUGGUUCUCGGGUGACACACCCCAGAACCAGAGAGGAGGAAGCCCUGAUUCCGGGGUGUGUCACCCGAGAACCGUC
Molecule: non-coding RNA, 77 nt
Organism: Myotis lucifugus (little brown bat)
Lineage: Eukaryota; Metazoa; Chordata; Mammalia; Chiroptera; Vespertilionidae
Source: Rfam